UACGAAGGGGGCUAGCGUUGUUCGGAAUUACUGGGCGUAAAGGGCGCGCAGGCGGCUCUUCAAGUCAGAUGUGAAAGCCCCGGGCUCAACCUGGGAACUGCAUUUGAGACUGGAGAGCUCGAGUUCGGGAGAGGAGAGCGGAAUUCCCAGUGUAGAGGUGAAAUUCGUAGAUAAUUUGGGAAGAACACCGGUGGCGAAGGCGGCUACUCGUGGGACCGAUACGUGACGCUGAGAGCGAAAGCGUGGGGAGCGAACGAGGA
RNAcentral lists this ribosomal RNA (260 nucleotides) under uncultured bacterium. RNAcentral's name for it is "partial 16S ribosomal RNA". It matches the Rfam family "Bacterial small subunit ribosomal RNA", at positions 524 to 778 of the family's 1533-position model. The record is from RNAcentral.